Molecule: ribosomal RNA, 492 nt
Filed under: uncultured bacterium
Lineage: Bacteria
Description: partial 16S ribosomal RNA
Rfam family: Bacterial small subunit ribosomal RNA
Source: RNAcentral
AGUGAACGCUGGCGGUAGGCCUAACACAUGCAAGUCGAACGGCAGCACAGUAAGAGCUUGCUCUUACGGGUGGCGAGUGGCGGACGGGUGAGGAAUACAUCGGAAUCUACUUUUUCGUGGGGGAUAACGUAGGGAAACUUACGCUAAUACCGCAUACGACCUACGGGUGAAAGCAGGGGAUCUUCGGACCUUGCGCGAUUGAAUGAGCCGAUGUCGGAUUAGCUAGUUGGCGGGGUAAAGGCCCACCAAGGCGACGAUCCGUAGCUGGUCUGAGAGGAGGGUCAGCCACACUGGAACUUGGACACGGUCCAGGCUCCUACGGGAGGCAGCAGUGGGGAAUAUUGGACAAUGGGCGCAAGCCUGGUCCAGCCAUACCGCGUGGGUGAAGAAGGCCUUCGGGUUGUAAAGCCCUUUUGUUGGGAAAGAAAAGCAGCAGGUUAAUACCCCGCUGUUCUGACGGUACCCAAAGAAUAAGCACCGGCUAACUUCGUG